RNAcentral lists this ribosomal RNA (253 nucleotides) under uncultured bacterium. RNAcentral's name for it is "partial 16S ribosomal RNA". It matches the Rfam family "Bacterial small subunit ribosomal RNA", at positions 524 to 776 of the family's 1533-position model. The record is from RNAcentral.
UACGUAGGGGGCAAGCGUUGUCCGGAUUUAUUGGGCGUAAAGAGCGUGUAGGCGGCUUUACAGGUCCGUUGUGAAAACUCGAGGCUCAACCUCGAGACGCCGGUGGAAACCGUAAGGCUAGAGUCCGGAAGAGGAGAGUGGAAUUCCUGGUGUAGCGGUGGAAUGCGCAGAUAUCAGGAGGAACACCAAUAGCGAAGGCAGCUCGCUGGGACGUUACUGACACUGAGGCGCGAAAGCGUGGGGAGCGAACAGG